RNAcentral lists this ribosomal RNA (497 nucleotides) under uncultured bacterium. Its description in RNAcentral is "partial 16S ribosomal RNA". It matches the Rfam family "Bacterial small subunit ribosomal RNA", at positions 28 to 507 of the family's 1533-position model. The record is from RNAcentral.
GAUGAACGCUGGCGGCGUGCCUAAUACAUGCAAGUCGAGCGAACGGACGAGAAGCUUGCUUCUCUGAUGUUAGCGGCGGACGGGUGAGUAACACGUGGAUAACCUACCUAUAAGACUGGGAUAACUUCGGGAAACCGGAGCUAAUACCGGAUAAUAUUUUGAACCGCAUGGUUCAAAAGUGAAAGACGGUCUUGCUGUCACUUAUAGAUGGAUCCGCGCUGCAUUAGCUAGUUGGUAAGGUAACGGCUUACCAAGGUAACGAUGCAUAGCUGACCUGAGAGGGUGAUCGGCCACACUGGAACUGAGACACGGUCCAGACUCCUACGGGAGGCAGCAGUAGGGAAUCUUCCGCAAUGGGCGAAAGCCUGACGGAGCAACGCCGCGUGAGUGAUGAAGGUCUUCGGAUCGUAAAACUCUGUUAUUAGGGAAGAACAUAUGUGUAAGUAACUGUGCACAUCUUGACGGUACCUAAUCAGAAAGCCACGGCUAACUACGUG